GAGACCUCAGUCAGGCGACAGCAAGCUC
This 28-nucleotide ribosomal RNA is filed under the name Phaseolus vulgaris (common bean). RNAcentral describes it as "partial large subunit ribosomal RNA". The record is from RNAcentral. Lineage: Eukaryota; Viridiplantae; Streptophyta; Magnoliopsida; Fabales; Fabaceae.